Molecule: transfer RNA, 73 nt
Filed under: Phenylobacterium hankyongense
Lineage: Bacteria; Pseudomonadati; Pseudomonadota; Alphaproteobacteria; Caulobacterales; Caulobacteraceae
Also listed under: 6 other names
Rfam family: tRNA
About the family: Transfer RNA (tRNA) molecules are approximately 80 nucleotides in length. Their secondary structure includes four short double-helical elements and three loops (D, anti-codon, and T loops). Further hydrogen bonds mediate the characteristic L-shaped molecular structure. tRNAs have two regions of fundamental functional importance: the anti-codon, which is responsible for specific mRNA codon recognition, and the 3' end, to which the tRNAs corresponding amino acid is attached (by aminoacyl-tRNA synthetases). tRNAs cope with the degeneracy of the genetic code in two manners: having more than one tRNA (with a specific anti-codon) for a particular amino acid; and 'wobble' base-pairing, i.e. permitting non-standard base-pairing at the 3rd anti-codon position.
Source: Rfam by way of RNAcentral
GCCGGAUUAGCUCAGCUGGUAGAGCAGCGGUUUUGUAAACCGAAGGUCGCGGGUUCGAGUCCUGCAUCCGGCA